AGAGUUUGAUCAUGGCUCAGAUUGAACGCUGGCGGCAGGCCUAACACAUGCAAGUCGAGCGGUAGCACAGAGAGCUUGCUCUCGGGUGACGAGCGGCGGACGGGUGAGUAAUGUCUGGGAAACUGCCUGAUGGAGGGGGAUAACUACUGGAAACGGUAGCUAAUACCGCAUAAUGUCGCAAGACCAAAGUGGGGGACCUUCGGGCCUCAUGCCAUCAGAUGUGCCCAGAUGGGAUUAGCUAGUAGGUGGGGUAACGGCUCACCUAGGCGACGAUCCCUAGCUGGUCUGAGAGGAUGACCAGCCACACUGGAACUGAGACACGGUCCAGACUCCUACGGGAGGCAGCAGUGGGGAAUAUUGCACAAUGGGCGCAAGCCUGAUGCAGCCAUGCCGCGUGUGUGAAGAAGGCCUUCGGGUUGUAAAGCACUUUCAGCGGGGAGGAAGGCGNNNNNNNNNNCGAUUGACGUUACCCGCAGAAGAAGCACCGGCUAACUCCGUGCCAGCAGCCGCGGUAAUACGGAGGGUGCAAGCGUUAAUCGGAAUUACUGGGCGUAAAGCGCACGCAGGCGGUCUGUCAAGUCGGAUGUGAAAUCCCCGGGCUCAACCUGGGAACUGCAUUCGAAACUGGCAGGCUAGAGUCUUGUAGAGGGGGGUAGAAUUCCAGGUGUAGCGGUGAAAUGCGUAGAGAUCUGGAGGAAUACCGGUGGCGAAGGCGGCCCCCUGGACAAAGACUGACGCUCAGGUGCGAAAGCGUGGGGAGCAAACAGGAUUAGAUACCCUGGUAGUCCACGCCGUAAACGAUGUCGAUUUGGAGGUUGUGCCCUUGAGGCGUGGCUUCCGGAGCUAACGCGUUAAAUCGACCGCCUGGGGAGUACGGCCGCAAGGUUAAAACUCAAAUGAAUUGACGGGGGCCCGCACAAGCGGUGGAGCAUGUGGUUUAAUUCGAUGCAACGCGAAGAACCUUACCUGGUCUUGACAUCCACAGAACUUUCCAGAGAUGGAUUGGUGCCUUCGGGAACUGUGAGACAGGUGCUGCAUGGCUGUCGUCAGCUCGUGUUGUGAAAUGUUGGGUUAAGUCCCGCAACGAGCGCAACCCUUAUCCUUUGUUGCCAGCGGUCCGGCCGGGAACUCAAAGGAGACUGCCAGUGAUAAACUGGAGGAAGGUGGGGAUGACGUCAAGUCAUCAUGGCCCUUACGACCAGGGCUACACACGUGCUACAAUGGCAUAUACAAAGAGAAGCGACCUCGCGAGAGCAAGCGGACCUCAUAAAGUAUGUCGUAGUCCGGAUUGGAGUCUGCAACUCGACUCCAUGAAGUCGGAAUCGCUAGUAAUCGUAGAUCAGAAUGCUACGGUGAAUACGUUCCCGGGCCUUGUACACACCGCCCGUCACACCAUGGGAGUGGGUUGCAAAAGAAGUAGGUAGCUUAACCUUCGGGAGGGCGCUUACCACUUUGUGAUUCAUGACUGGGGUGAAGUCGUAACAAGGUAACCGUAGGGGAACCUGCGGUUGGAUCACCU
This 1519-nucleotide ribosomal RNA is filed under the name Klebsiella pneumoniae. Its description in RNAcentral is "bacterial SSU rRNA". It matches the Rfam family "Bacterial small subunit ribosomal RNA". Lineage: Bacteria; Pseudomonadati; Pseudomonadota; Gammaproteobacteria; Enterobacterales; Enterobacteriaceae. The record is from RNAcentral.